Molecule: ribosomal RNA, 496 nt
Filed under: uncultured bacterium
Lineage: Bacteria
Description: partial 16S ribosomal RNA
Rfam family: Bacterial small subunit ribosomal RNA
Source: RNAcentral
GAUGAACGCUGGCGGCGUGCCUAAUACAUGCAAGUCGAGCGAACAGACGAGGAGCUUGCUCCUCUGACGUUAGCGGCGGACGGGUGAGUAACACGUGGAUAACCUACCUAUAAGACUGGGAUAACUUCGGGAAACCGGAGCUAAUACCGGAUAAUAUAUUGAACCGCAUGGUUCAAUAGUGAAAGACGGUUUUGCUGUCACUUAUAGAUGGAUCCGCGCCGCAUUAGCUAGUUGGUAAGGUAACGGCUUACCAAGGCAACGAUGCGUAGCCGACCUGAGAGGGGGAUCGGCCAACCUGGAACGGGGACACGGGCCAACCCCCUAGGGGGGGCAGCAGGAGGGAAUCUUCCGAAAGGGGCGAAAGCCUGACGGAGCAACGCCGGGGGGGUGAUGAAGGGCUGCGGAUCGUAAAACUCUUUUAUUAGGGAAGAACAAAUGUGUAAGUAACUAUGCACGUCUUGACGGUACCUAAUCAGAAAGCCACGGCUAACUACGU